This is an RNA transcript of Rhinopithecus roxellana (golden snub-nosed monkey), 1884 nucleotides long. It is a transcript of the gene named sulfotransferase 1A1-like, with no coding region annotated. The record is from RefSeq and is a predicted model, not a curated record. NCBI's taxonomy places the organism in Eukaryota, Metazoa, Chordata, Mammalia, Primates, Cercopithecidae. The transcript has 7 exons.
GCUAUAUUGCCCAGGUUGGUCCCAAAGUCUAAGGCUCAAGUGAUUCUUCCCCAUUGGGCUUCCAAAGCUCUGGGAUUCCAGGCAUGAGCCACCGUGUCCCCUCCUCAUUCUGCUGAAUCAUCAGAGUUUUGUUCAUUCCCACACCAGGCUCUGGCCCCCAAUACCAGCUCAGUUGCUCAAUGGGCCAUGUUUGUCCUGGAGCCCAGAUGGACUGUGGCCGGGCAAGUGGAUCACAGGCCUGGCGGGCCUGGUAGGUUUCCACAUGUGAGGGGCCUGAGGGGCUCAAGGAGGGGAGCAUUGGGGAGAGGAGCCCACUGGGUGGAGGCUGGGAGUCACAGCAGGAAAUGGUGAGACAAAGGGCAUUGGCUGGUAGGGAGACAGCACAGGCAGGCCCUGGAGCUUCCUCAGUGCGGCUGGACGCUCCUGGAGACCUUCACACACCCUGCUACCUGGGCCCCGCACCGCGAGGGUGCUUUCACUGGUCUGCACCAUGGCCCAGGCCCUGGGAUUUUGAACAGCUCUGCAGGUGAAUGAAAGGUGUGGCCAGGCUGGGGAACCACCGCAUUAGAGGCUGACCUGGUUUCAGCCCCAGCCCUGUCACUGACUGGCUUUGUGAGUGUGGGCAAGUCACUCAGCCUCCCUAGGCCCCAGUGACUUCCCUGAAAGCAAGAAUGCCGCUUUCUUGCUGUUGUGAUGGUAUUAAAGGAAGUGGGCCUGGCUCUGCCCCUGACGCGGGAACAUGGAGCUGAUCCAGGACAUCUCUCGCUCGCCACUGGAGUACGUGAAGGGGGUUCUGCUCAUCAAGUACUUUGCAGAGGCACUGGGACCCCUGCAGAGCUUCUGGGCCCGGCCCGAUGACCUGCUCAUCAGCACCUACCCCAAGUCCGGGACUACCUGGGUGAGCCAGAUACUGGACAUGAUCUACCAAGGCGGCGACCUGGAGAAGUGUCACCGAGCUCCCAUCUUCAUGCGGGUGCCCUUCCUUGAGUUCAAAGCCCCAGGGAUUCUCUCAGGGCUGGAGACUCUGAAAGACACACCGGCCCCACGGCUCCUGAAGACACACCUGCCCCUGGCUCUGCUGCCCCAGACUCUGCUGGAUCAGAAGGUCAAGGUGGUCUUUGUUGCCUGAAACCCAAAGGAUGUGGCGGUCUCCUACUACCACUUCCAUCGCAUGGCCAAGGUGCGCCCUGACCCUGGGACCUGGGAGAGCUUCCUGGAGAAGUUCAUGGCCGGAGAAGUGUCCUACGGGUCUUGGUACCAGCACAUGCAGGAGUGGUGGGAGCUGAGCCACACCCACCCUGUUCUCUACCUCUUCUAUGAAGACAUGAAAGAGGUGAGACCACCCUCUGCUCCUCAGAACCCCAAAAGGGAGAUUCGGAAGAUCCUGGAGUUUGUGGGGCGCUCCCUGCCAGAGGAGACCGUGGACCUCAUGGUUCAACACACGUCAUUCAGGGAGAUGAAGAAGAACCCUAUGACCAACUACACCACCGUCCCCCAGGAGUUCAUGGACCACAGUAUCUCCCCCUUCAUGAGGAAAGGCAUGGCUGGGGACUGGAAGACCACCUUCACCGUGGCGCAGAAUGAGCGCUUCGAUGUGGACUAUGCGGAGAAGAUGGCAGGCUGCAGCCUCAGCUUCCGCUCUGAGCUGUGAGAGGGGCUCCCGGGGUCACUGCAGAGGGAGUGUGCGAAUCAAGCCUGACCAAGCGGCUCAAGAAGCAAAUAUGAAUUGAGGGCCAGGGACAGUAGGUCAUAUCUGUAAUCCCAGCAAUUUGGGAGGUUGAGGUGGGAGGAUCAUUUGAACCCAGGAGUUCAAGACCAACCUGGGCAACAUAGUGAGAUUCUGUUGAAAAAAAAUAAUAAUAAUAACAAAAUAAAAUCAGUUUU